AACGCAACUUGCGCCCUUUGGCAUUCCGAGGGGGCACACCUGUUUGAGUAUCAUGGAAUUCUCAAUCCUCUAAAUUCUGUAUGAGUUUAGUUGACUUGGAUGUGGAGGUUGUGUCGGUGGCUUUUUGUUAGUCGACUCCUCUGAAAUGUAUUAGCGGGAACGUCUUGCGGACCGUCACUUGGUGUGAUAAUUAUCUACGCCUCAUGACCGAUGCUCUUGUUCUGCUUCUAACCGUCCAUUACUUGGACAGCUUCUUUUGACAAUUUGACCUCAAAUCAGGUAGGACUACCCGCUGAACUUAA
RNAcentral lists this ribosomal RNA (302 nucleotides) under uncultured fungus. RNAcentral describes it as "eukaryotic LSU rRNA". Lineage: Eukaryota; Fungi. The record is from RNAcentral.